Molecule: long non-coding RNA, 474 nt
Filed under: Mytilus galloprovincialis (Mediterranean mussel)
Lineage: Eukaryota; Metazoa; Mollusca; Bivalvia; Mytilida; Mytilidae
Source: RNAcentral
GGUUGUUGUACAGGUUCUAUUUGUUGUUGGUGUAAUUGACGAAUUUCCAGAUGUCGUUGAGGUAAAUUGUUGUUUUGUAAAUUUUUCAGACAAUUAAUAACUUGUAGAAUAGUUUCCAAUCUUCUUCUUAAAUUUUGAUUUCCUCUUAAAAACACUUCCGAAACAGCUAUAAUUGUGACAAUUAUAUAUAUAAACCAAUCUACAAAGAAGAAAACAAGUCAUCUGAACUAACACUUUCAGAACUACAUGUAUGAGAAGCAUUAAAUAUAAAUUGUUGUUGAAUGUCUUGUGGUGGAUUUUCAAGUCUUUCAAGAUACAGUUCAUAAGAUUCUGGUGUGUAUCUCAAUUCAAAAUCUGGACUAUUUGUAGGUUGUUGACGUUCUUUUUUUUAAUAUUCUUCUACGGAUGAAAUAUACACCGAAACCAAUAACAGAGCAUACUAAGGACACUGAAAUCAAACAAAUUAUAUCACUC